CAGUGGGGAAGCACGGCGAGUCUGCUUUAAACUUUUGCCUAUUAAAACUGAUGAUAAUAUUGUUAUAGCAGAUUCCGUCACUUUGAAGCUCAUCUUCUUUUCCAUUAUACGUAUGAGAUGGUGGUAGUGUGGAAUUGAUUUUACAUCAUGUCCUAUCACUGUGAAGGAUUCCUCGCUUUGGUGUUCAAGUGCCAUUACAAACAAGGGCGUUUUUGCUUUUCUACUUCAAAAUUGAAUGCUAACUUUUUAUUGGUAAUAAAUAUGUGUCAGAAUAGGAAGUUAGAAACCGGCGUCGAGUUUUGAAGUGGACAUAUGGCCUCUCAAUAAAUCAAUCGACCUUUCUCUAUGGUUGUAUACUUGAAGCGCUGCAAUUUGAACCGUUAUUCCUUCUCUACAAUGGACGGGCGCAGCAAUGUGCGCCUUGUUUGCCUCAUUUUAGAGUGGAUGGUGCUUUGCUAAUUAUAAUUUGAAGUGGUCUUUCCCUCUUGUCUGAUCUGAUUUUGUGGUGAAAACAAUAGUGGAUUUUGACCCUGGGUGUGUGUGGCUGAAUAAAAUGGUGUAUCAGAACUGAAUUUCCAUAUUAUGAUGCUAAGGGGACACCUAAAUGGAUACUGCUCUUAACGAAAAGAAACUUGCAUAUCAUUGACAUCUGUUUGCAACACCCGAUAGUAGUGUGACACCCAACUAAUUUUUGACUAAGCCUCUCUUUGUAUAUCUAGGAUUGCUACUAGAACAUGCCGUUCCAAGUUGCAGCUAUGAUUUUUCUAUGCAUGAAUAGUCUUUUUCUUUUAAAUGGCAGUGCAUGCUGCAGUAGCUGGGAUAGAUGGUAGCAGCGGUGGUCAAGACGUCAAGUGACAGCGGGCGCACCUGAUACCAAGAUGCCAAGGUGAGCAACACACAGAUUAUAUCUCCAGUCAACCUUUAUCUUCCAGUUUACAGCUUGUUGCUUCAAUCCUCCAUCUUCAUCCUCCCUCAUGUAGCGAAGAAUGGAACAACUGACUUUGUUCUUCUUAUAGCGUAUAUACACCUGAAAGUUGAUUCAGUUAUCGAAGAGUUGCAUAAAUGCUUCCUUCUUUUGAAAAGGUAAAGUGCAUAGGUGUUUUUUCGAUAAGCUCACCUGUAAGCAAAUGUGGUCUGAAGUGGUUUCCCACUUCCCUAAUUUUCUCAUUAGUAUAUCCAAAUAAAAUAGCAUACUGAAUGUAUAGCUUUAUUAUUUCAUCUACAUUGGUAGGAAUGGAAAUUUUAAAUUGGGUUUGCAUCGCUGAAUUAUCGCUUAUAUUAGAAUAUUUCUUCCAGCCUUAACACAUAUGAAUUGAUUUUUUUACUUUGGAUGUCUGUUCUAUUUUCGCUAUUAGAGAAUGGGGAUGCCAUAUGUACACUUGUUUGGUCUUCAUGACUGCGCCUUUCUAAUUUAAUUCUGCAUGCAAUAGUCGAGAAUUAGCAUCUAGCAGGCAUUGAUUUCUGUAGUUGUUCUUACUCAUUCUUUAGUGUCGCAUGUUGAUCUUUUUCUUCUACUUUUAGUGUAGGCGCAAGCAAUCAAUCUUGUUUUAGUUUGAUAUUUGAAUUUUCAUGGGUUUAAUUGUUUAUCCUUGACUAUUUUGGUUUUUGGUACUGCUGAUCAGGAACUAAGUUGAUAAGCAUCAAUAUUUUUAUUAUAGUAAGAUAAUAUAUGUUCCUAUACUGUCAGUUUGUAUGAUUCUAGCUUCUAAACCCAAUCUAUGUUGCUUCAAAGAGCUUUGAAGUUUUGAAUCAAAGUUACAAGCAUGUUCAACCAUUGGAACUAAAUAACCCUGAAAUGUCUCAUGUAGUUUUCGGAGAUCUCAUGCGUCUUUCUAUCUAUCUUUACAAGAUUCUGAAUAUCUGCUUUUAAAAUUUGUAUCAUUUGCUGCAAACACUUUAAUUCUUAACUAUUCACUUUCUAAUGCCCUCUGGUAAAAGGAAAUACAAAUACAAACACUACCUUUACUAAGAGCCUUCCAAUGUCAGGAGGAGGAUGACAUGGACACAUGUUAGAAAAACGUCUGAACAUGGCUUCACACCUUCAUACAUUAAUGGUAUAGAGCAAAUGUAGUCUGAAUAUAAUCUUACGUCUCGAUACUCCCUUGGGUCAAUUUUCUCGCUUUAUUUUUGAAAUAAUUAUAAUGAAAUGAAAGAAAACAAAAUACCAAAAUACUGCAGAUGCACUCAUGGGAUAAACUCGGAAGCAUCAAAAGUAGUCAACAGACGAAAUUAGAAAAAUAAUACAGUUAGACAUGCAGGUUAGACUGAAAUCUGAUUAUGCCCAAACAUGUCAUAUGCCAUGAGGAGGAUGAGUCUGGUUGGGAAGAGCAUUGGCGAGAGCAGUCAACCUCCUUCCUUAACUUCUUGGCGCAGUAGCCAGCGAGGACGGCAAUGCAGGAGCCGACGCGGAUGACGAGGGAGAUGAUGAGCAACAUCUGGCCUCCCCUGCUCGUUUACCCAACCGCCUCCAUCCAACUGUGGUGGUCGGAUCUCAGAUCCUUCCACUGUUUGUGCAGAUUCUUCCCUUCAUAUGUUUCAGCCAAACCAAGACAACUAUCUUCUUACCAUUGUUGCAUGUCAAUUGUUACCUUUUAGGUGCCUUCUGCCUUGAUUUCUUGGUACUCAAAAAAUAUAUAUUUGAAUGUUUUUUUUUCACAGUGAGAGCAAGUCGCAAGACCAGCUGUCGUCAUAUGUUUUAGAAUUUCCCAUGUUGCAUGCUCUGCUGCCUGAAAUGGUCCCCUCAAUCUGUUCUUGGAACAGGAUGCCAAUAUGUAAGUUGAUAUUGCAAAUUGAUGGUUUCUGCUCAUGUGCUCCAAGGUUGUCAGGUGUGUUUUUUAUAUCUACAGAAAAGAGAAGGAUUAUUUGGUGGAGCGACAAUAACAACCACAUGAAUGACCAGUGAAGCUGUAGGCCAAGACAAGCAACUAGGAGAAGGACCUUAUAAAGUCAUUGAAGAACUUGCCUCCAUCUUUUGUUCUCAGGGAAGGACACUUUUGCUGAAUGCAUGUUACUGUGAUGUAUUUACCACUACCCCUAAGACACAGUAGACCUACUGCUGGAAGAGGUAUGAAUCUAUGUUAUUUGCCACAAUGGGUUAGAUUAGAUCCAGGCAAAGAGACACAAAUUAGGCCCAUGUCAGUUGGUACGCUGAUAAAUGUAUAAUAAACCAGUGUAUUCUCAUUUUAUUCCUGAUUAGCAUAGAAUUUGUAAAAAAACAAGAAGAAAGUGGUACCAACUAUAGAAAAGUAUUGCCACGUUGAUAAGUAUUUUUAGAAAAUUACUUGGUACUAGUAGAAUGCCCGUGCGUUGCCACGGGCCAACAAAUGAAAUUGUGUAAACAAUGCUCAUUUUCCUCCCCAGAAACGAGCAUAUUGUACGCAAUGUUCAACCACAACACAAAUGCAAGCAUAUUCUUCUCUCUAUUCUUACAAACAUGACACACCCCUCUAGCCG
This 3453-nucleotide long non-coding RNA is filed under the name Triticum aestivum (bread wheat). Its description in RNAcentral is "long non-coding RNA (TAES_LNC022327)". Lineage: Eukaryota; Viridiplantae; Streptophyta; Magnoliopsida; Poales; Poaceae. The record is from RNAcentral.